UACGGGGGGAGCAAGCGUUGUUCGGAUUUACUGGGCGUAAAGGGCGCGUAGGCGGCGUGACUAGUCACUUGUGAAAUCUCCGGGCUUAACUCGGAACGGUCAAGUGAUACUGUCGUGCUAGAGUACAGAAGGGGCAACUGGAAUUCUCGGUGUAGCGGUGAAAUGCGUAGAUAUCGAGAGGAACACCUGCGGCGAAGGCGGGUUGCUGGGCUGAUACUGACGCUGAUGCGCGAAAGCCAGGGGAGCGAACAGG
RNAcentral lists this ribosomal RNA (253 nucleotides) under uncultured bacterium. RNAcentral's name for it is "partial 16S ribosomal RNA". It matches the Rfam family "Bacterial small subunit ribosomal RNA", at positions 524 to 776 of the family's 1533-position model. The record is from RNAcentral.